RNAcentral lists this ribosomal RNA (493 nucleotides) under uncultured bacterium. Its description in RNAcentral is "bacterial SSU rRNA". It matches the Rfam family "Bacterial small subunit ribosomal RNA", at positions 1 to 495 of the family's 1533-position model. The record is from RNAcentral.
GACCUGAGAGUUUGAUCCUGGCUCAGGAUGAACGCUGGCGGCGUGCUUAGCACAUGCAAGUCGAACGAAGCACUUUGAUCGAUUUCUUCGGAUUGAAAUUUUAGUGACUGAGUGGCGGACGGGUGAGUAACGCGUGAGGAACCUGCCUCAAAGAGGGGGACAACAGUUGGAAACGACUGCUAAUACCGCAUAAGCCCACGACCCGGCAUCGGGUAGAGGGAAAAGGAGCAAUCCGCUUUGAGAUGGCCUCGCGUCCGAUUAGCUAGUUGGUGAGGUAAUGGCCCACCAAGGCGACGAUCGGUAGCCGGACUGAGAGGUUGAACGGCCACAUUGGGACUGAGACACGGCCCAGACUCCUACGGGAGGCAGCAGUGGGGAAUAUUGCACAAUGGGGGAAACCAUGAUGCAGCGACGCCGCGUGGAGGAAGAAGGUCUUCGGAUUGUAAACUCCUGUUGUGAGGAAGAUAAAGACGUACUCAACAAGGAAGGACGG